AGUGAACGCUGGCGGCGUGCUUAACACAUGCAAGUCGAACGAGAACGGAUUAUAGCUUGCUAUAAUUGUCAGCUAAGUGGCGCACGGGUGAGUAAUAUAUAGGUAACGUGCCCCAAAGAAGAGGAUAACAGAUGGAAACGUCUGCUAAGACUCUAUAUGCCUUUAUGACAAAAGUCAGCAAGGGAAUAUUUAUAGCUUUGGGAUCGGCCUGUACAGUAUCAGUUAGUUGGUGAGGUAAUGGCUCACCAAGACAAUGACGCUUAACUGGUUUGAGAGGAUGAUCAGUCACACUGGAACUGAGACACGGUCCAGACUCCUACGGGAGGCAGCAGUGGGGAAUAUUGCACAAUGGACGAAAGUCUGAUGCAGCAACGCCGCGUGGAGGAUGACACAUUUCGGUGCGUAAACUCCUUUUAUAUAGGAAGAUAAUGACGGUACUAUAUGAAUAAGCACCGGCUAACUCCGUGCCAG
RNAcentral lists this ribosomal RNA (471 nucleotides) under uncultured bacterium. Its description in RNAcentral is "bacterial SSU rRNA". It matches the Rfam family "Bacterial small subunit ribosomal RNA", at positions 29 to 511 of the family's 1533-position model. The record is from RNAcentral.